UUUUAUUCCUAGUCUAUGUGGUCUUGCAGAAAAAUGAAUCGCUUAACUCUUUGUGAGCAGGACUCCUCCAUCCUUGUAGUGGGGAAGGGCACAGCCUCUCUACUGUCUGCAUAUCUGAUUAUGCACAGAGGCUCUGUAUUAUGGAAGGAAUGAAACAAAAAAUGUAAACUAAUCUGUGGCAUUCAGCACCAAGGAGUUCCUGUGCCAGUGAGGAGGAGCCCUCUACUAGAGUGAUGGAGGUCUUAGUCGUACAUGGAAGCUGAUGGAGUUACUGUGGAAGCCAUGUUCUGAGUCUCAGUGGAGAAAGGUAGAGAGAAGACCUCUUCUAGUGGGGCAGACUGAAGCCCACACUGUUCCGUCCAAUACUGAGCUCACACUACCCACUUCAGUGGUCUGCCAAGUGAGUCCGGGUGGAGAGCACCUGUCUCUCUCCCCCAGGUGAGCCUCUUUAUUCAUGGGCUGUGCCCAAAGGUCCUAAAGCCCCAGAUCCAGUGGGGCAAAGACACCUCAGCAAGGAACAGG
This 522-nucleotide long non-coding RNA is filed under the name Mus spicilegus (steppe mouse). RNAcentral describes it as "lncRNA (ENSMSIG00000030140.1)". The record is from RNAcentral. Lineage: Eukaryota; Metazoa; Chordata; Mammalia; Rodentia; Muridae.